CCCAAGGCGGCGUCCAACGAGUGCCCACACUCUGCCCCACUUAGAGCGUGUUUGGUAGUGUGGUAGUGGUUGCUUUUCAAAUAGCUUUUCGUGCCGAAAUGCAUGCUAAUGAUGUUUUUUUAUUUUUUAAAAAUCAUUUUUGACAUCAGCACAUCAAAACGAUCCAAAAAGUACAAACUGAACUCAAUUUUAGCAAAAAAAAAAUAAAAUUGAAAUUUGACGAAACGCAGUUUCGACCGCACUACCAAACGGUCCCUUAAGCGACUGAAAAUCGCCGCCUGUCUUCUCCAUGUGACAACCGCCACGUAGCUUUUUAAUCGUCCACCGUUGAUUUUAGCACCGAGUUUGCUGAGGCAUCGACUCAUCCUGCCCUCGUUCAAUAUCCAUCUCAGUCGUCCCUGACUCACCACCGCAACUCACAGAGCUAGCCACGUUAGGAGACGCAGCACCUCUUCUUUUCCUUCUUAGCAUCCUCUUAAAAGACAGCAUCCGACUCAUUGGCGAUCUAAACGCGUGACUCGCUGAUGGUGACUCAGUGUUUGACUC
Molecule: long non-coding RNA, 546 nt
Filed under: Populus tremula
Lineage: Eukaryota; Viridiplantae; Streptophyta; Magnoliopsida; Malpighiales; Salicaceae
Description: long non-coding RNA (PTRE_LNC000546)
Source: RNAcentral